This 393-nucleotide ribosomal RNA is filed under the name uncultured bacterium. RNAcentral describes it as "partial 16S ribosomal RNA". It matches the Rfam family "Bacterial small subunit ribosomal RNA", at positions 523 to 918 of the family's 1533-position model. The record is from RNAcentral.
AUACGGAGGAUCCGAGCGUUAUCCGGAUUUAUUGGGUUUAAAGGGUGCGCAGGUGGGAUAUUAAGUCAGCUGUGAAAGUUUGGGGCUCAACCUUAAAAUUGCAGUUGAUACUGGUUUCCUUGAGUACGGUACAGGUGGGCGGAAUUCGUGGUGUAGCGGUGAAAUGCUUAGAUAUCACGAAGAACUCCGAUCGCGAAGGCAGCUCACCGGGCCGGAACUGACACUGAUGCUCGAAAGUGCGGGUAUCAAACAGGAUUAGAUACCCUGGUAGUCCGCACAGUAAACGAUGAAUACUCGCUGUUUGCGAUACACUGUAAGCGGCCAAGCGAAAGCGUUAAGUAUUCCACCUGGGGAGUACGCCGGCAACGGUGAAACUCAAAGGAAUUGACGGGG